GAAUAUGGAGCCCUCGGCGCGGGGGUGGCGUGUCAGGUGGUUACGGAGCUGGUAAGAAUCAUAUUCUAAGAACUCAGCCACUCAGGUAUCCACCAUGGUGCUGGGUCCUGAACAGAAGAUGUCAGAUGACAGUGUUUCUGGAGAUCAUGGGGAGUCUGCCAGUCUUGGUACCAUCAACCCUGCCUAUAGUAAUCCCUCUCUUCCACAGUCCCCUGGGGACUCAGAGGAGUACUUCGCCACUUACUUUAAUGAGAAGAUCUCCAUUCCUGAGGAGGAGAAUAAGAGGCUGAUGGAACCUGCGGGUAAGGGAAGGGCUUUGACUUGGACAGAGCAGUGGCCGGCUUCUUAAUAAAAAGUGGGUAAGAUGGAAGUGAAACUUGGACACAUGCAAUAUCUGACAUAGUAAAUCCUUUUUUCUUGUGAGGCUGGAUUUUGUUGCUUCAUAUGUGAUAACAGAUCAAUUAUAUCAGUAGUUCAAUGGUGAUGUUCAGUUUAAUCUCUUUUCCUCUCUUGUACAGUACUCUUGUUUUAGCUUUCGUAAACUCUGGGCU
This 551-nucleotide small RNA is filed under the name Pongo abelii (Sumatran orangutan). Its description in RNAcentral is "processed transcript". The record is from RNAcentral. Lineage: Eukaryota; Metazoa; Chordata; Mammalia; Primates; Hominidae.